UGAUGCUCAACAAAGUCAGGGCUGAUCUGCUCAGAACCGGGCUCUGUCCCUCGAGGGAGAAGUGGGCGGAAAAGGCCGACCGGAGAUGGACGGGCAGCCGGGACCUUGUCGCCAGGAAGUGACGUCAUCAGAUCCGGGAAGCCUGCAGGGACCUCUGACCUCAGACCCCCUGGGGGAGCUUCUCAAGCGCCUCCCACGCCUUCAGGCCCAAGGCGGGUCAGGGCGGAUGUCUGCAAAGUCACACUGUGCAGACAGUGGCCCUGCCGUAGGAAGAGCUGAGAGUCCUGAGGGCGGAGAAGCAGCAUCUCCCGGAGCCCUCGGCCUGCAGAUGGGCGUGUGCCGUCAGGCUCCUUUCCCGGCAGAGAAGGCGUCGAGGUGAAAAUCUUGAAGACUCCUCCAGCCUCGGACCCUGUAUCGUGCUGGAGGUCUUAACCAGCUUGAGAAGCAUUUGAUUUUCUGAAUGAUGAAUCACCUCCAAUUACGGCUCCUGACUGCGCACGAGUCACUCGCAGCGUCACCUCCGCUGUCUGACCCUCGCCUCCAGCCAUCCAGCUGCCUGUUUGUCCAAGAUGCUGGUGAGUUCUGCACUUGCCAGAGCCCAGAAAGGAAGCCAGGCAGACAGGUGACUCAAGGCUGAGCGCCCCCCUGCCUCACCAUCUGCUCUCAGCUCCGUGCCUUCGGUGCAGGAGGAAGGGGUACGUGGAUCUGCUCCCCCAGGGGCCCGCAGCGGACUGCAAACCCUCCACUAGCAGGUCCGAUGGGACCUUGUGUGUCUCCUCAGCAGAGAUGAAUAAAGCCACCAUUUCCACCAUCACCUUUCCUAUAGAG
Long non-coding RNA from Camelus dromedarius (Arabian camel), 828 nucleotides. RefSeq lists it as uncharacterized. The record is from RefSeq and is a predicted model, not a curated record. The transcript is spliced from 3 exons. Lineage: Eukaryota; Metazoa; Chordata; Mammalia; Artiodactyla; Camelidae.